Molecule: ribosomal RNA, 777 nt
Filed under: uncultured Neocallimastigales
Lineage: Eukaryota; Fungi; Neocallimastigomycota; Neocallimastigomycetes; Neocallimastigales
Description: partial large subunit ribosomal RNA
Rfam family: Eukaryotic large subunit ribosomal RNA
Source: RNAcentral
CGUCUAUAUACGUAUAGCAUAUCAAUAAGCGGAGGAAAAGAAACUAACAAGGAUUCCCUUAGUAACGGCGAGUGAAGCGGGAAGAGCUCAAAUUUGAAAUCUUCAAGGUUCUACCUUGACGAAUUGUAGUUUAAAGAAGUGUUUUCUGUUAGAGGAGUAGCAAAAGUUCUUUGGAAUAGGGACAUCAUAGAGGGUGAGAAUCCCGUAUUUGGUCAUUCUUUCUAGCUGUGUGAUACACUUUCAAAGAGUCGGAUUGUUUGGGAAUGCAGUCCAAAAUGGGUGGUAAAUUUCAUCUAAAGCUAAAUAUUGGCGAGAGACCGAUAGCGAACAAGUACCGUGAGGGAAAGAUGAAAAGAACUUUGAAAAGAGAGUUAAACAGUACGUGAAAUUGUCAAAAGGGAAGCGUUUGACACCAGUGUUGUUUUUCCGAAAAUCAAUUAAGAGUGGCUUGAUUUUGUGUUGUAUUGACCUUAUCAGCUUUCUUCACUCUUUUUCGAGUCUUUCUUAAUGCACUUUUCGGUUAACAAGUCAACAUCAAUUUCUUUUGCUGUAAAAGGGUAUUUGGAAGGUGGCUUUCUUUUCGGAGAAAGUGUUUAUAGCCUUAUACCUCUACAAUCGGAGAGAUUGAGGUCUGCAGGCGUAGAUCCUUCGGGGCUAGAUACACUUGUGCUAAGUUAUAGCUUUUCAUAGACAACUUGUUGACUAUGUUUAGUCAUGUAGCUUACCCGCUUGUGCUAUUUUACCUACGCUUAGGAUGUUGAGUCAUCACACAUCUCU